UUACCACGAUGACUUGCAAGCAACUCACUGUGCUUUGGUGUUGGACUACCUGAAUUUUUAAUUCGAGAUCGGAAGAUUUUUAGGCAAAGUCAAGUAUUUGUGAAGUCGGUGUGUGAGUCAAGAUGGAAUUGACCACUCCAAGAGAUUGAAGAGAAUACUUUGUAUUUCAAUUUAGUAAGACCUUGGCUAGGGCAAUCCUUUUGAAGAGUCACAAAAUUUAUCAGGUUGAGACAUAUAAUGGAUGUACUAUUAAGAGUUAACAAUUUAAACUCUAUGUCUUCCUAGCAUUAAGGAUCAAAGGG
This 302-nucleotide long non-coding RNA is filed under the name Elaeis guineensis (African oil palm). Its description in RNAcentral is "long non-coding RNA (EGUI_LNC081364)". The record is from RNAcentral. Lineage: Eukaryota; Viridiplantae; Streptophyta; Magnoliopsida; Arecales; Arecaceae.